ACACGACUGUUGUUUAAUCACAGGAGGUGAACUUCUGAAAAUCUUGGAUGCUGGAUUGGAGGAAAAUAUCAUAUCGAAACAGAUGUAUGAAGCUCUCAUCAUUCAGGAACCAUCUAUUCCUACAUUAUAUUUGCUACCAAAAGUCCAUAAGAAUU
Bufo bufo (common toad) is the source of this 155-nucleotide long non-coding RNA. RefSeq lists it as uncharacterized. Lineage: Eukaryota; Metazoa; Chordata; Amphibia; Anura; Bufonidae. The record is from RefSeq and is a predicted model, not a curated record. The transcript has 4 exons.